RNAcentral lists this ribosomal RNA (240 nucleotides) under uncultured bacterium. RNAcentral's name for it is "partial 16S ribosomal RNA". It matches the Rfam family "Bacterial small subunit ribosomal RNA", at positions 91 to 334 of the family's 1533-position model. The record is from RNAcentral.
ACGAGUGGCGGACGGGUGAGUAACGCGUAGGAAUCUACCUAGUAGUGGGGGACAACCUGGGGAAACCCAGGCUAAUACCGCAUAUGUUCUACGGAAUAAAGUGUGGGACCUUCGGGCCACACGCUAUUAGAUGAGCCUGCGUUAGAUUAGCUUGUUGGUGGGGUAAAGGCCUACCAAGGCGACGAUCUAUAGCUGUUCUGAGAGGAAGAUCAGCCACACUGGGACUGAGACACGGCCCAG